Picea glauca (white spruce) is the source of this 501-nucleotide non-coding RNA. The record is from Rfam. NCBI's taxonomy places the organism in Eukaryota, Viridiplantae, Streptophyta, Pinopsida, Pinales, Pinaceae.
UGCACAAGUAUUGAAGGAAGUUGUAGUUACCAGUUUUCAGAAGAAGGAAGAGAGAGAGGCGCAUUGAUUAGGAGAGUAUAUUCUCUAGUGUUUGUUUUAUUGUCUUGGCAUUGUAUUGUCUAUCUAUAUUAAGGAAGUUUUUGCUGGGUUUUCUUCCCCAUGAGGGUUUCCGAGGAUAAAUGUUGUGUAUCUUGUGAUUUUUUUUCUCUCAGUGAUCCUAUCUAUGUUGUGCUUAUCUAGUAAACUGAAAAGAAACCUAAUAAUAGCUUACACCUUAACACUUGUAGAUUCUAACACAAUGUGAUUUAUGCCUAGUGCUCUGCAUAUCAAAGUGAAGAAAUUCAACCAAGCGUGAGUAAAUGAUGGGAGUAACUAUGACUCUCUUAAGGUAGUCAGAUGCCUCUAUGUCAACUAAUUAGUGAUGCACAUGAAUGGAUUAACGAGAUUCUCACUGUCCCAAGCUAUUAUCUAGAGAAACCACAGCCAAGGGAAUGAGCUUGG